CCUACGGGAGGCAGCAGUGGGGAAUAUUGCGCAAUGGGCGCAAGCCUGAUGCAGCAACGCCGCGUGAGGGACGACGGCCUUCGGGUUGUAAACCUCUUUUAGUAGGGAAGAAGCGAAAGUGACGGUACCUGCAGAAAAAGCACCGGCUAACUACGUGCCAGCAGCCGCGGUAAUACGUAGGGUGCAAGCGUUAUCCGGAAUUAUUGGGCGUAAAGAGCUCGUAGGCGGUUUGUCGCGUCUGCUGUGAAAACUGGAGGCUCAACCUCCAGCCUGCAGUGGGUACGGGCAAACUAGAGUGCGGUAGGGGAGGUUGGAAUUCCUGGUGUAGCGGUGGAAUGCGCAGAUAUCAGGAGGAACACCGAUGGCGAAGGCAGAUCUCUGGGCCGUAACUGACGCUGAGGAGCGAAAGCAUGGGGAGCGAACAGGAUUAGAUACCCUGGUAGUCCAUGCCGUAAACGUUGGGCGCUAGAUGUGGGGACCCAUUCCACGGUUUCCGUGUCGCNGCUACGCAUAAGACGCCCCGCCCGUCGGGAGGUACGGCCGGCGACGGACGUAAACCUAACAAACGAAAGUAGACGGCGUGAGACGUCGCCGACGGACGACGACGAGGGAGGUUAGG
RNAcentral lists this ribosomal RNA (619 nucleotides) under uncultured bacterium. RNAcentral's name for it is "bacterial SSU rRNA". The stretch from base 1 to 525 matches the Rfam family "Bacterial small subunit ribosomal RNA", at positions 338 to 873 of the family's 1533-position model. The record is from RNAcentral.